GAGCAAGUGAGUAGCUUGGUGGCAUGUGAUGGUAUUGACACGUUUCUUCUUACACACGUGUUAAGGGUCUUGCUUCCCCAAAUUGCCUGCCACCCACUCACACAUUCUAGAUUCUGAGAUCCAGAGAGAGGGAUUGGAGAAGAGAUGGGAGAGACGGAGUAGGCUGCUGCCAUGUCUUCGACGGCAGCGACGGUGACGAGAUGGAGAGAGGCAGAGUAGGAAGACCUAACGAGGACUGUAACAGUCCACACAAGAAUCGUGGAUGGCAAAUCUGUCGUGAGGUUUCUGCAAAAGCUGCAGCCGGUAGACUGGUAGAGGCGGCGGUGUCGCCGACUCCUCCGCCACGUCAUCCACAGUCGUGAAGAUUGGCACGAUAUCGCAACUUCUUUCCGGAGAUAUUGCCGGACCUUUUAGCAAAACAUGUAUGGCUUCUCUCGCACACCUCACUAUUCGGUUUCAGUUGGCUUUGGAGGUGGUCUUUGAACUCCAGUAAGAGCUAGGCGCAUAAAGUGAAAUUGAAAGAAAAUGUGCAUUGACUGAAAUGAAUGGGAUAUAUUGUUCAACUAGACUUAUGCGAACCAGUGCGGAAACAACAAAGAAGCCUGCAAUCUUCCAAGAAAAAUAUGUUGCACCAAAAGGUAUUGUAUUAUCAUUUGAAUGUGAAUUAUUGUAGGCUAGAUUUAUAUUCUAUUAAGAAAGAAGACAAGUUGUCUAGGUAAGAAUGGGACUAAACUAAAUGGGCAUGUUUAACUUUUUAUUGAUUCGGAGUUACCAAGGAACAUGCUUUUAUACGUAGACAGGCAUUUUGUACACAAAUCUAUGGCUGGUACAAGACCGACUAUUAUAGGAAUUUACAACUUCGGGUCAGACCCGUGGUGAUGGUGUGGUGGAUGCGAGUUCCACACACAUCUAUGGCUGGUACAAGACCGACUAUUAUAGGAAGUUACACCUUCGGGAUAGACCCGUGGUGAGGGUGUGGUGGAUGAGAGUUCCACCGUGACAACAUGAAACCAACCCACAAUUUACAGAUGUAAAAAAGAUUGCACACAACUCCAUGAAUAUCUGCUAAAGUUGGAUGUUUGUUUUUCCCCAUCAAGCAGACAAUUUCACCAUUUAAAUUUAGCAAAAGCUAUUGUUUAAUGCAGUUAUUGGUUGUGAAUCAAAGAUUAAAGCCCUUUAAUUUGUAUGGUGGACGCUUUCAUUCUGCUUGCUAAUGGAUUUUCAAGUGGCUGUGUUUCUUUGGCGUUGUUAACAGAUCUGAGUUGGAACCGCUGCAUGCAUCGGCAGAUUGACAACCGGGAAUGGUGAUAUAUGUUAAUUGGGGAUUUCCGACCAAUUAUGUCAAUUUUAUUAUUUAUGUUGAUAUAUGUUAAUCAGUUGUGUCGAUUAAUUUUAUUAGCAAAUCGAACGAUACUUAAUGAAACCCGCUGUGAAGCAGGUUAUUACCGAUUUUUUGAGUCUGAUUUGAUUU
Helianthus annuus (common sunflower) is the source of this 1471-nucleotide long non-coding RNA. RefSeq lists it as uncharacterized. The record is from RefSeq and is a predicted model, not a curated record. NCBI's taxonomy places the organism in Eukaryota, Viridiplantae, Streptophyta, Magnoliopsida, Asterales, Asteraceae. The transcript is spliced from 3 exons.